Molecule: ribosomal RNA, 904 nt
Filed under: Mycopappus alni
Lineage: Eukaryota; Fungi; Ascomycota; Leotiomycetes; Helotiales; Sclerotiniaceae
Description: eukaryotic LSU rRNA
Rfam family: Eukaryotic large subunit ribosomal RNA
Source: RNAcentral
ACCGGAGGAAGACCAACAGGGAUUGCCUCAGUAACGGCGAGUGAAGCGGCAAAAGCUCAAAUUUGAAAUCUGGCCCUCUCAGGGUCCGAGUUGUAAUUUGUAGAAGAUGCUUCGGGUGUGGUCCCGGUCUAAGUUCCUUGGAACAGGACGUCAUAGAGGGUGAGAAUCCCGUAUGUGACUGGGUACCUACGCUCAUGUGAAGCUCUUUCGACGAGUCGAGUUGUUUGGGAAUGCAGCUCUAAAUGGGUGGUAUAUUUCAUCUAAAGCUAAAUAUUGGCCAGAGACCGAUAGCGCACAAGUAGAGUGAUCGAAAGAUGAAAAGCACUUUGGAAAGAGAGUUAAACAGUACGUGAAAUUGUUGAAAGGGAAGCGCUUGCAAUCAGACUUGCGCCUGGUGUUCAGCGGGGUUUCGUGCCCCGUGUACUUCAUCAGGUUCAGGCCAGCAUCGGUUUGGGUGGUUAGAUAAAGGCCUUGAGAAUGUGGCCCUCUUCGGGGGGUGUUAUAGCUCUCGGUGCAAUGUAGCCUACCUGGACCGAGGACCGCGCUUCGGCUAGGAUGCUGGCGUAAUGGUUGUAAGCGACCCGUCUUGAAACACGGACCAAGGAGUUGAAUAUCUAUGCGAGUGUUUGGGUGUUAAACCCCUACGCGUAAUGAAAGUGAACGGAGGUGAGAACCCUUUAGGGUGCAUCAUCGACCGAUCCUGAUGUCUUCGGAUGGAUUUGAGUAAGAGCAUAGCUAUUCUGACCCGAAAGAUGGUGAUCUAUACGUGAAUAGGGUGAAGCCAGAGGAAACUCUGGUGGAGGCUCGCAGCGGUUCUGACGUGCAAAUCGAUCGUCAAAUUUGCGUAUAGGGGCGAAAGACUAAUCGAACCAUCUAGUAGCUGGUUCCUGCGAUGUUUUCUCUC